CAUAGCUUCUCAAAGAUCCUAAUUCCCAGGGUAUAGUUUAUAUAUUAAUAGAUGAUCUUUUUAUAUAACUUUAGAUAGUUCAUGAUUGCAUGGCAAAAUUUAUCUAUCUACAUAAGAAUGCAAGGAUUUGUAUUAUAACGCAAGUAUAUUGAAAAGAGAAAUUAUUAUAGGCUUAAAUUUGAAAAUUACUUUAUUGCCAUUUCAGUAUUAUGAUUAUGCAAGUUUCUAUUAAUCUCCUAAUUUUACUGUUGAAUAAGCUGAGACACUAAGAGGCUAAGUUACUUUUCCAAAUUUAUAAACUGAAUUGGUAGCAAAACUGGAAUUACUUACGGAGUCCCCACUCCAUUACUUCGUUCACUGAAUCACUUUGCGUUUCUGCUUUGUGUGUGAGGAUUGUUUUACAUUAAUUAAAGAGCCUGACAAUAAACACUCAUUUACUCAUUUUUGCUUUUUAUAAUGAAAAAUGUUCAACUAAAUGAAAAAAAAGUCUUUACUUUGGCAUUCACAUUAGCCUAAAACAGCUGAACUGGAUUUUUGUCAAACUUGGCAAGUACUGAAGUCUGACAGAGAGUAAACUCAUGCCAAGUUCCGUUUGAAAUUAAAUGUUCUGCCAAAGUUAUAAGCUACUGAAAAUUGGGACUUCACAUUAAUCUGUGAUUUCAAUAUACUAUACCAAUGUCUCAUAAAAUUUCUUAUUCUAAUAAGUAAUGUUGAUGUUAUUAUAAAACUUAUGUGGUAUGCUACGUGCUGGACUUCCCAGAAAAAGUGACUCUGAAGUUUAAUUCUUUGGAGAUUCAUUAGAUAUUCUAUUUAUAUAUUAUGUUUUUUAUUGUUUCUUUCUUUAUAUGCAGCUUUUUUCAUCUUUGUUUUGACCCCAUUUCGAUGUUUAAAUCCAGUUUUACUAGUAUUUUUGCUUUCAUUUCAUUUUUAGGUGAAAUACUUUAGAAAUAUCUAGGUGUUCUCUCUUUUAAGCAACUCCAUAUAUGGAUGAAUUUAUGGCAUAUGUCUUGCUGUCCACUAAAGGCAAAAUUGUUAACUAAAGUCUCCUACUCCUGACUGCUUUCUUCUCCUUUUCUUCUAUUUACCAGAGGAAGGAGCAUAUUUCCACUUGAAACUACCCUUAGAAUUGAAGAAGAGCUAAUUAAGUAUGUGUAAUGUAUCUGCCAAGAAUUUUAAAACCAGAAUAUACUACUUUUAGAUUUUUGGAAAAAUUAAAAGCCCAACAGACUGAACAAAGACAUGUAUACUCAAGGAUGCCUCCUUCUAUGUCUGCCCUAGGUGCCGAAUUCCCUUCCCUGGCCACAGGAUAUUUUGUGCAAGAUCUGGAAGGCAGAUCUUAAAUUCUGAAUACUGCUGCAGAUCACCAGGUACUGUGGAAGCUUAUUUACCUCAUUACUGACCUACUAACUCAUUUCAAUAGAGUGGAGCACCAGAGGACCAUCCUGUUUCUUCAAGUUUUGGGCCAAGUUUAGUGUAGCAAUAUGGCCAAGGGUGCCUCCUUCUCCUACAGCCAUCAUGGCAUCAUGAUUGUAUCUAGUGACAGACGAACACAAAUUCCACUCUGUCCUUAUGGAUUCCAGUAGUCACCUUCUCAUGGAUUCCAAUCUGUGCAGGUCUCAGUUUUUCCACUUUGUUUCCCAACUACUAAUCUGGCCAAGCUAGAGACAGAACAACAGACAAUACCUACAUAGGUUGAUCUACCCAUUCACAAUGGUUUGAGGUCCAACUCCUAUAAUGUAUCAGCAUUCUAGAUCACUUGUACUAUGUUUGCUUCUCUGAUAGAACUCUGACUAAUACAUAGUCCUCAUCAGAUUACUGGGGGUGGCUUAGACAAGAUUUGUGUGGAAAUGUCUAUCCUGAGACAUCUUCUUCAUACCUCUUCCUGGUUCUGCAUUUUUUCCCUCUAGAUACCUAAGCUUGCCAAUGAUCCAUGUUUCAUGUUACAGUAGGAGACAAUCAGUAAUGAAUUAUCACUUUUUUUGUCAGAACUGUAUAAAAAUAAAUAGCAUUCCAUGUACUUUUACUGUCUAUAGUUGGUUUAUUAAAAUAUUUAUUUAAAUUCAAUUAGCUUCUGCUUCUGAGUGUCUUCUGAAGUUCUACAGUUAACUUAUCUUAGAGUUUUAUAAAGAAAAAAAGUAUCAUUUAGGAAUAAUAUAAGCCCCAGAUAGAAUAAACUAUAUAAUAUUUACUUAUGAGCCGAUGUAUCUUUACCAAGCUACAAAUAAUAGGUGAGCAAUCCAGCAAGUAAAAAUUAUGUAACUUUCAGGCAAUGUUUUUCCCAAGAAAACAUUAGGAAGAGCUUUUCUUCUCUCUUUUUCCCUUAGCCAGUAUGGCUGCAGAAAUAAAGAGAAAACUUGUCUGUCACCUUGUAACAGAUGCUGCCUGGUUAGAGUAUUAUAUGUAAUCUGAUUCUUGCCCUUGGUUAGCAGGCAGCAAUGACACAGUCCACUCCUAGAAACUGAGUUCUUUACUGACUUGACUUUGAUGUAUCUAAAUCUGAUUUUAGUUUCUCUACUAGCAGGAUACUCUUCUCCCUCUAAAAUUCCCCUUCAGCUAAUAACAACAGAUUUUUCAUUACUGUUUGAAUAUUCCUUGAAUUUUUGUAUAUGGGAGUUUAAUAUAUUUGAACUGUUAAUUGUUGUUGUUUUUUCAGAUUUUUUUCCCUGCACAUAUACACUUUCAUUCUAGCCAGGCUCUUUGGUAGUCACUGCUCUAGGAAAACUAUGUCACGGCAACAGAAAGCAAUGAAAAGGGAAUUUUCUAAUUAGCUUUUAGUUUCAAAAGAUGAGACAAAAAACAAAAACAAACUAGAUAUUUCAUUGGAUACCAGCAAGGACAAAUAAAGAAUCAGAUGUUCCAAUUUCCCUAUGAUGUCUUAGAAAUGAACAAUCUCUUGAGUUUGGACCCACCUUGAAGGAGGUAGGAGAUGGAAAAUAAAUAUGGACAACAUAGGAUAAUUUCUGUCAUAGGGACUUGGAAUCCCCAUUCAUAUUAGAGUAGUCACACUGCUAAUAAGAAGCUAUCAGGGAACUGAUUACUGGCAGAAAAAAGUAGAGCGUAUGAAAGGUGUAUGAAAAUUUGCUUGUCAUAUCAAUGAAGUUUUGGGUGUGGGGGGGGUUUGUGGGAUAUGUGUGAUAUUCCUUGGACACUCCCUGCUACCCCCAAACAAAAAAGGACAAAAAACAAAUGGUUAUACUGAUAAGAGUCUCUACCAGUUUACCACAAAAAGGCAAUCCCUUCAACAGUCUGAAGUCCAGGAACUCUCUAAGGUCUUCAAGUUAAUGCUUUAAAGGGAAAAACAACCUUAGCUUGACAAUUAGCUAGGCCUCCAGUAAGUCUUUAGCAUGUGAAAGUCUCUUUGGAAACUCCCUCUUGACUUUGUCUCCCCAGACGCCAUAAAAGGGUCAC
Molecule: long non-coding RNA, 3408 nt
Organism: Felis catus (domestic cat)
Lineage: Eukaryota; Metazoa; Chordata; Mammalia; Carnivora; Felidae
Exons: 3
Source: RefSeq, a predicted model, not a curated record